AUUCAGUCAAUACACAUCGUGCAAAGACAACUUGAUAUCAAUCGCUGCAUACAAAAAUGGAUGGUGCCAUUGCAAUGAAUCAUGUGGUGGAAUCCGACAAGGAGAAGAGGCAAUUUAAACUGAAAAUUAUGGAGCUCGAGCACGAAAUGAGGAUGGAAAAGGAUCCAGCUCGCGCCAAGAUGAUCGAGGAGCACAUUGAGAAAUUGAAGAAACUGGAUGAGGAGAACCAAAAGCGGAACUUGGAAAUUGCCAAGGCAAACGUGAUGUUAAUGACAGCGAAUACAAAGUUUAGAGUGGGUUAUCAUAUUAUUAACAACCUUUAAAUCAAAAUUGCUUCCAAUAAUGAAUCCCGGCAAGGCAAAGCUGCUUGCAGUUUUGAUUAAAAUGCCUUAUUAAUAAAUUUCAUGAAC
Drosophila melanogaster (fruit fly) is the source of this 410-nucleotide non-coding RNA. The record is from Ensembl. Lineage: Eukaryota; Metazoa; Arthropoda; Insecta; Diptera; Drosophilidae.